Hypanus sabinus (Atlantic stingray) is the source of this 1066-nucleotide RNA transcript. It is a transcript of the gene named oocyte zinc finger protein XlCOF26-like, with no coding region annotated. The transcript has 2 exons. The record is from RefSeq and is a predicted model, not a curated record. Lineage: Eukaryota; Metazoa; Chordata; Chondrichthyes; Myliobatiformes; Dasyatidae.
UGCGCACAGUACACAGAAGGCCUUGCAAAUACCGGGUGCAGCUAAGAGCGAUUCUCUACUUUUUUAAAUAAACAGCGACUGAGGGACGAUUCCUGUGAAAUCCGGACACCGUUACCCGCAAUCCCUGGACUGUCCUGCUCAAUCUCCUCUCUCUCAGCCCCACGAUCCGUACACGGGCCCCGGGGAGCUUCCGGCUGAUGAGGGAAUGGGAACCGAUGGAUCUCUCAGACAGAGCUGAGCUCCAGCUAUCUAAAUGCAAGGAUUAGGAACUCGGAGAAAGGGAACAAAAUCUUUUACAUCAGCAGUUGAGAAGAUCACCUUUGUUCUUUCCUCAAUCACAAACAAGAGAACAUCUGCAGAUGCUGGAAAUCCAAGCAACACAAAUUGCUGGAUGAACUUUUCCACAGAUGCUGCCAGACCUGCUGAGUUCCUCCAGCAUUUUGUGUGUGUUCUUGUUCUGGACUUUUCUACCGGUGAGAAUAUGUUUUGUCCCAUUCUCUUUGGGUACAUAAUGAUAUCAAACACCUUUGUCCUGGGCAACAAGUAACUUUCACAUCACAAAUGUGCCGGACUCCAAUGAGACAGACUACUGCCCUUCACUUCAUAUUCAUUGGCAUUGCCAUCACUACGUGCGGACCAACCAUUCAUCUCAGCAGGAAUUUUUUAUAUGGUGUUAAAACUGUGGCAUGUUAAGUUAAUAAUACAUAAAAGAAAAUCCCAGUUGCACGUCAAGAAAGACUAUUUGUGUGAGACUGUUUCAGUUACUGUGGGGCCAGGCACCCAUGCAGCUCAGCAGGAGGAGGGAAUAAUACCAAUGGAGAGAGUCAAACUGAGCGAGGGUUCAAAUUGGAGAUGGCCAAAAGCUCCAUUCUUAUAGAGACAGGAAGAGCAUCAGAGAAUUGAUGGUCAUUCCAGAUACCAGCACUCUGCCCAGUCAGGAGAUGAUAUCUCUGUCCAGCUUGUUUUGAACCUCACUGUCACAGUGUGAUACCAGAUCAAACCUUGGCAACUCAAGUAAUCUCAUCUGAAAUGUUGUCCUACACCCAUUGAUGGAUUUUGCAAAUCU